This 2141-nucleotide long non-coding RNA is filed under the name Homo sapiens (human). RNAcentral's name for it is "non-protein coding lnc-ICOSLG-9:6". The record is from RNAcentral. Lineage: Eukaryota; Metazoa; Chordata; Mammalia; Primates; Hominidae.
CUUCCGGUGGUGGCUGAGGGCUCGUGCUCGAGGCUGAGGGAUGCUGGUGACUCCCGGGGUCCCCAGCCCCGCCCCCAUCGGACGCCUCCACAGGCGGCGCACCCUUUCCGCCAUCCGCAGAGCAAGGCUGCCUCGGGGCGGCUCAGUCCGGCGCUUCUUACCUUACCUCCGUCUCAUCCUUAACUCACCACGAGCGUCCAGGGUCCACAUCCUCCUAAAUGGCCACUCGUCUUAAUCUCGGCGUCAGGACCCACGCGGGGUCAGGACUACCCCUCCGCUUCCAUGACUGUCUCCUCGCGGCUCCGGCUCCCACGGAGCGACCCCUCCGGGUUUUACUGACCCCGGGAUGUUGUAUCCUGGAAACUGCAGUUCCACCCAGGGGCUUGAUCUGGGUUAGUCUGGGGGCAAGUGAGCCGCCGAUUCUGUUUGGGUUUUUUUUUUUUUUUUUUUGAGACGGAGUUUCCCUCUUGUUGCCCGGGCUGGAGUGCAAUGGCGCGAAGUCGGCUCAACGCAACCUCCGCCUCCCAGGUUCAAGCGACUCUUCUGCCUCAGCCUCCCAAGUAGCUGGGACUACAGGCAUGCGCCACCACGCCAGGCUAAUUUUGUAUUUUUAGUAGAGACGGGGUUUCUCCAUGUUGGUCUGGCUGGUCUUGAACUCCCGAGCUCAGGUGAUCUGCCCGCCUCGGACUCCCAAAGUGCUGGGAUUACAGGCGUGAGCCACCAUUCCCGGGCGCUGUUUGGGUUUGUUUUUUUGUUUUUGUUUUUUACGUUCACAGCAUGGACGGUCAGUGUGAAGAUCCCAGCUGCUCGGGUCCUAGCUGGAAUUCUUCCAUUAAAAAAAUCUGUUUGUUAUGCAUGGGUUAGUUCACAGAGGAAUAGCUGGAUAAGUGCUGGCUUUUUCCCCGAUUUACCCAUUUUCAACCUAAUAAUGCAGGUUUUUGAAAUAAUGUGAAUGGUUACUGCUGGCGGAUGUUCACAGGGACACACCGGAUUCUACAGACACAUCUGAUGAUCUAGCCACGGCUGUCACUUUCCCCACUGCCGCGUUGUCCAUCACUAGGACUUUACUGCCAAUCCUUGCAAGAUAGUGGGGAACUAGAAUAACAGACAUGGGACAUUACCAGUUACAACCAAAGACAAGCUUGGCACAUUUGACUGUCCUCGUUCCUGCUCCUCCGUGCCUGGCCCUCUUCAGGCUUCUCAGCUCCUGGGGAGCGGCCAGCCAGGGAGCAUCAGCUGGUGGGAGCGAUGGGGUUGUGGGAUGGCACAAAAAAACACCAAGCGCCACUCAGAAAGGAAAUGCCGAAUGCAGACUCUCACUCAGUCGGUGUGGGGGCCAGGACCCUGUCUCUACCAAGUGUGCGGGAGCUGCCCCUGGCCGGGAGCUCCCAGACCCCACUGCAGAGCCGCAGCUCCAGUUGUCCCAGGGGCGACUACUCAGGUGUCCAUCGCCAUGCACAUGUGACACAGAAAAGGGUGAGGCGAGGAGGGGGAACGCUGGAAAUUGUUUCACGGAAAAGGGCGAGGCAAGGGAGGGGAACACUGGAACUUGUGCUUUGGGUAGGCGAUAGCUAAGGAUUCUCUCUCGUCUGGGUCACGGAGAUUGUGCAGCCACAGAACACCUGGUGUCAUCAGGGCCUGAGCUCCUCCCUUCUACAAAGACCUCUGGUCUGCAGGCCUGCAGGUACAGUGCUGUGGGCCACAAGGCUGCUGUUACUGAGCUGUGGGGACCAGGAUGCCCUACCAUGAUGGAGACCCAAGCCUCUCUCAUGAUGACUAUUCCCAAGGGCACUGCAGAGGGGAGGAGCUGUCUCCUCCUCCGUGUGGCCCACGCAGAGCUGGUGCAGGUCUGAGUGAGCUCACCAAGACAGGCCAAUCCCAGCCCCAGACUCCAAAGCAUCCCCAAGAGGUCAGGGAGAGGCUCUGUGCCCCUGACCCCAAGGAUAUGCACAGGUCACAAGGCAGAGCCCCCGCUAGACAGCAGGAGCACCCUGCUCUGUCAGCCUGCUUCCCCAGGACGGAGGCCCUGGUGGUAAGGCAGGCAGGUCUUGAGCCCCCACAAGACAGCAGGAUACAACAUAACCCUUUUUAAUCUGAAGUGUAGACUUCAUCCUCACGUUAGAAAACUCCAUCUUUUUUUU